GUCUGGUCGGCUCGAUGUGAUCGGGACUGAAUGACAUGAGUGGCGGCGAAUUGAUAAUCAGAUAGUAAGCCUUGAAAAGAUCCUCAGAUUGAGAGUCCGUGAUACCAAGAGAGCUCUGACCCAAGAUGCAUCAUCAGAAGAGGUCUGUGUUAUUAUGUCAGGUGUUAUUGCUUUUUUUGAUGGAUCAGACAUUCAG
This is a long non-coding RNA of Capsicum annuum, 196 nucleotides long. RefSeq lists it as uncharacterized. Lineage: Eukaryota; Viridiplantae; Streptophyta; Magnoliopsida; Solanales; Solanaceae. The transcript has 2 exons. The record is from RefSeq and is a predicted model, not a curated record.